UGGGGAAUAUUGCACAAUGGGCGCAAGCCUGAUGCAGCCAUGCCGCGUGUAUGAAGAAGGCCUUCGGGUUGUAAAGUACUUUCAGCGGGGAGGAAGGGAGUAAAGUUAAUACCUUUGCUCAUUGACGUUACCCGCAGAAGAAGCACCGGCUAACUCCGUGCCAGCAGCCGCGGUAAUACGGAGGGUGCAAUCGUUAAUCGGAAUUACUGGGCGUAAAGCGCACGCAGGCGGUUUGUUAAGUCAGAUGUGAAAUCCCCGGGCUCAACCUGGGAACUGCAUCUGAUACUGGCAAGCUUGAGUCUCGUAGAGGGGGGUAGAAUUCCAGGUGUAGCGGUGGAAUGCGUAGAGAUCUGGAGGAAUACCGGUGGCGAAGGCGGCCCCCUGGACGAAGACUAACGCUCAGGUGCGAAAGCGUAGGGAGCAAACAGG
RNAcentral lists this ribosomal RNA (429 nucleotides) under Chloroflexota bacterium. RNAcentral's name for it is "Chloroflexi bacterium partial 16S ribosomal RNA". It matches the Rfam family "Bacterial small subunit ribosomal RNA", at positions 355 to 776 of the family's 1533-position model. The record is from RNAcentral. Lineage: Bacteria; Bacillati; Chloroflexota.